UCUCCGUAGGUGAACCUGCGGAAGGAUCAUUAUCGAAAUACUUAUUUAGCGUUCCGUGCUAUCCCAUUGUUUUAUUUACCCUGUUGCUUCCACUGGAUGAGUUUCCAUACCUUGUGUUUGAGAAACUUUGGCUUGUGUAAGAUUCAUUCACGGCCAGCCAGUGAGAAGACCAUUUACAAAACCCUGUUAAGAACCAAUUGUCUGAAUAUUUUACUCCAAUGAAAUAAAACUCUCAACAACGGAUCUCUAGGCUCUU
This 256-nucleotide unclassified non-coding RNA is filed under the name plant metagenome. RNAcentral's name for it is "partial contains small subunit ribosomal RNA, internal transcribed spacer 1, and 5.8S ribosomal RNA". The record is from RNAcentral.